Molecule: ribosomal RNA, 496 nt
Filed under: uncultured bacterium
Lineage: Bacteria
Description: bacterial SSU rRNA
Rfam family: Bacterial small subunit ribosomal RNA
Source: RNAcentral
AACGAACGCUGGCGGCGCGCCUAAUACAUGCAAGUCGAGCGAGAAGACGUAGCAAUACGUUUGUAAAGCGGCGAACGGGUGAGGAAUACAUGGGUAACCUACCCUCGAGUGGGGAAUAACUAGCCGAAAGGUUAGCUAAUACCGCGUACGCUCCUUGGACUUCGGUUCAGGGAGGAAAGCGAUACCGUGGGUAUCGCGCUCUUGGAUGGGCUCAUGUCCUAUCAGCUUGUUGGUGAGGUAACGGCUCACCAAGGCUUCGACGGGUAGCUGGUCUGAGAGGACGAUCAGCCACACUGGCACUGCGACACGGGCCAGACUCCUACGGGAGGCAGCAGUAAGGAAUAUUGCGCAAUGGGCGAAAGCCUGACGCAGCGACGCCGCGUGGGGGAUGAAGGUCUUCGGAUUGUAAACCCCUUUCGGGAGGGAAGAUGGAACGAGCAAUCGUUCGGACGGUACCUCCAGAAGCAGCCACGGCUAACUUCGUGCCAGCAGCCGC